RNAcentral lists this non-coding RNA (66 nucleotides) under unclassified sequences. RNAcentral's name for it is "S15-Halobacteria ribosomal protein leader". It matches the Rfam family "S15-Halobacteria ribosomal protein leader". The record is from RNAcentral.
GUGGGAAGCGCACGGCCGCAAAUCUGACUUCGUCACCGAUUGGGUGACUCGAGAUUGCGGAAGUGC